Molecule: long non-coding RNA, 859 nt
Organism: Cornus florida
Lineage: Eukaryota; Viridiplantae; Streptophyta; Magnoliopsida; Cornales; Cornaceae
Exons: 3
Source: RefSeq, a predicted model, not a curated record
GGUCCUGCUGGAACUGAAAGUGUUAGUGUGCAUCAUAAUGUACUGUCCCCAAGGCGUCCGAUAACAUCAAGGGCAAUAUUGACUAAUGCAAGGGGUCAAAACUUGGAUGUGGCUGAUACUGCUCCGAUCACCAAUCUAUCCCCAAGGGGGCUGAUCUCAUCUAGGGUGCUACUUUGUACCGGAAGGGGUCAAAACUUGGAUGUGGCUGAUAAUGCUCCGACCACAGACGUACCCCCAAGGGGGCUGGGCACAUCGAGGGUGCUACUUUCGAUUGGUGAAUCCUCUUUUCUCAUCAUUUUAUUAAUUUCUUUGUUUAUGGAAUUUAUAAUUUGUGUUUUUUUAACAUCAAUUCUGAUUGCCAUUUCGACUAAUAAACAACUAUUCCACUUUAUUCUCUCUCUCUCUUAGAUUUGAAAGUUUAAUGAAUACUUGACAAGUAAAACUAAGGCCCGAACACUUCGAUUUGAAGUCCUAUAUAUAUUUACACACUCUCACAUUACCACAUUUAUGGUAACCACAAAUAGGCAAUAACCCAUGCUUCUAACUUGAUUAAAUGUGUCUAUUCUUCCAUUAAAUGAGGACAACCACUUAAACCUUAUUAGUUUUUUGACCAUUGAUCUCAUCCUCAAGCCACCAACCAAUGUGUUGUUUUGUCUUCAUAUGAUAACAAAAUAAGUACAUUAUGCAUAUACAUGUCUUGGAUAAUAAAUUCACCUUAAAAGAAUUGCUCUGCAUCUUUAACCUCUAGUGUAAAAUCGCAAGUGAAAAUAGCAUUGCGCUCCUCAAUCCAGAAAAUUAUUUGAUAAUAGGCCUCUAUCGAAAUUUUCCCCCUAUUUACACGUUUUUUUUUUUUUUUUUU